This 237-nucleotide long non-coding RNA is filed under the name Gossypium raimondii (Peruvian cotton). RNAcentral describes it as "long non-coding RNA (GRAI_LNC009428)". The record is from RNAcentral. Lineage: Eukaryota; Viridiplantae; Streptophyta; Magnoliopsida; Malvales; Malvaceae.
AUUAGCACAAAGCCAUCGGUAGCAGUAUUAUGAUUGGCACAUCCCUCUACAACUCAAACUCCUCAUUUCUCUCCACAAUCCACUUCUAAAAAUCCUCUCUGAUAUCCUACACAUAUCACUCCAACCUCUUAUCUAUCAGAAUUUUACUGCAACACAACCACUACCAAGCUGCAAAAUUAAUACCCCAUUGCGCAACCUAAGACUAGAACCUCAGACCACAUAAUUACACAACACGCC